Molecule: unclassified non-coding RNA, 272 nt
Filed under: Hevea brasiliensis (rubber tree)
Lineage: Eukaryota; Viridiplantae; Streptophyta; Magnoliopsida; Malpighiales; Euphorbiaceae
Source: RNAcentral
AGCCAUCUUGUACUCUACUAUUGCCAAUCGUUCUCUCUGUUUUCAAUUUCUGAAAUAUAAAUGGGCAUGAAAAUAAAUUUAAUUCUGCAGUUAAGGGCUUUAGUAAUAGAGUUAAUGGACAAAAAGUUUAAUAGGAAAACUAGGCACAAGUAAAACUGAAGUGAGAUUUAUAGUGGGAGUACAUUCAGCAGAACCUGUUCCAGACAUAUUGGAUAAGGAUCCGUCCAUUAUGCAGCCUUUUUCUUUUUUUGAACAUGGGGAAUAGGUUGUGA